UACGUAGGGGGCAAGCGUUGUCCGGAAUCAUUGGGCGUAAAGAGCGUGUAGGCGGCUUGGUAAGUCCGCUGUGAAAGUCCAGGGCUCAACCCUGGAAUGCCGGUGGAAACUGUCAAGCUUGAGUCCGGAAGAGGCGAGUGGAAUUCCGAGUGUAGAGGUGAAAUUCGUAGAUAUCGGGAGGAACACCAGUGGCGAAAGCGGCUUCCUGGUCCAACACCGACGUUCAGGCACGAAAGCGUGGGGAGCAAACAGG
This 253-nucleotide ribosomal RNA is filed under the name uncultured bacterium. Its description in RNAcentral is "partial 16S ribosomal RNA". It matches the Rfam family "Bacterial small subunit ribosomal RNA", at positions 524 to 776 of the family's 1533-position model. The record is from RNAcentral.